GAAGUGGCCUUUUCCCCUCUUGUUUUUGCCAUCUUAAGCUGGAAAUUGCGUAUGGUGUGGUCUGAAUAUAAUAGGAUGUUAGGUACUUUCCUGAGUUUGCCUCAAACAUGACCGCCAACAGUGCCUUCUCUCAUGAGGUACUUAAUCCAGGUACCAUUCAUUCAGAUCCUUCAGAAGUGAUUUCUUAAUGAGAUUUAAAGUUAUUGUGAAUGAGGAUUUAGAGCAUGUUCAACAAUUUUCAUUGCAGUCUCACUUAGUAGAGGAAUCUGCUUCCCGUACUCUUUCUUUUUAUAUGUAUCUCUAGGUAAUGGUACUUCAAGGGAACUAGGUCAAUAGCAGUGUAACUCAAACUUGACUGACCCAUGCAAACUGCUUGUUAUUUUAAUGUGAGAUGCUUUUCUGGUCUUUAUCCAACUUAGAGCCGAUUCAGUGUCCCAUUUUUAAAGAAUCUCUAGAGAGGAGGAUUCCAUGGCUUCUCUUGAGGUUUCACUGUAGAGUUUCACACUCUCAAACAUUAGGAAGGUAUUCCUAGUACUUUAUACCCAAAUUGCUCAUGUGGCUCUUUAAGACUCUCAGCUGGUCCUCAGCGGAGAUGGAAAACAGCUGCUCACCACCACCUGUGCUUGGAACUCUUCCACGCUUUGGAAGCCCAUUAAAUCAUGUCUCAGCUUGUGAAAUGAAGGCUCACAAAAAGGGUUUUUUUUGACCAGAGUUGGGGAUUAAAUCAGCUAAAUGUUUGGAAUUUUUUGGUAGCUAUGAUGACCAGACAUUCUGCAUUGCAAUAACAAUAGAUAUGUAUUUAUUGAGUACUUAUGUAAUAGGAGUGGAGCAAGCAUGCAGCCGUUAGUCUGUAAUUCUUAUCAGGAGACCUUGAGCGUGGCCAACAGUCAGUGUCCCAGUGGUCCUUGUGGCAGAGAGUGCAGAUUAAGGCCUUCUCCCUGGGGCCCUCUAGGCCCCCCAGCCUCCGGGCCAGUGGAUGAGCUGGGCAGCCUGGGGACAGGCUGAGGGCUGGAUCCUGAAGAGCUCCAGAGUCCUCACCGUAGCUGGGCACAGGCCUGGAAGCAGCAGCGAACCUUUUCCGCAAACCCACAGUCCAUGGAGGCCUCAGCAACUGGAGUGUACGGACAUGGCCUUUAAGUCUUUUUUUGGAAGUGUUGGCUGCUCACAGUUCUACAUACGUUGGAGAGAUCAGAGAUUCUGUCGACCUGGUUCCCAGCCCUGGCCCUAUGACUGAUGGAUGACAAGUGUACCAGUGAGAACUGAAACUUGCAGCACCUGGAUCCCUGUCGCUAAGAGGGAAGAACAGUACUGACCUACCUCAUGCAAUGAAGUGUCAUAUGCAUUAACUGUCUAAUGAUGCUAAAGCUCUCUGAGCAUGUAAACGUGGAACAUUAUCAUUAUGGUUAAUACUAGUCUCCAGGUUGUAAGUUUUUUCUUUCCUCAAAGAGAAGCAGAAAGAUUAUUUAAAGAAAUACUGAAUAGAAGGCUACAGUUUGUUCUUAAGUCAUGAUUGACUUUGAUCAGAAUGGUGUAAACAGUGCGUAUGCGGUCUUGAAGUCCUCAAGAUAAUUAUUUCUACUUCAGGGCAUGAAGACUUCUCUUUCUCCUCCUCCCAUCAAGGGAAAAAGAAAGAAAGAAAAAACUUGGAAAGCUAAUGCUCUUAAAAUACAAGACGAUUUGUCAGGUCUGGAAAUAGUGUUUCCUAAAACCCUUGCUACAAGAGAGGCCCAACUGAGUAGACAGAGCUGGACUCAGUCUUAAACAUCUUGCUAUGGAAAGACCCAGAAGCAGGAGAGGUUGCAAUGAGUUUUUAAAGCCCCUCCAGUUAUUUUUUAAUUCUAGAAUUUCAAGAGAGAAAGGAUUCUUGGAGAUCCAAUAUCCUUGUCCAGUGCCCUUUCCACUUGCACUGGUGAAUCCCCAGUGGUAUGUCUCCAACCGGUGUUGUAACAAGUUGCCACACACUUAAUGGCUUAAACCAACAUGAAUUUAUUAUCUUGCAGUUCUGGAGCUUGCAAGUCUGAAAAGAGUCUUAGGGACUAAACUUAAGGCAUUAGCAGGGCUGGUUCCUUCUGGAGGAUCCGGGGGAGACUCUUCCUUGCCUCUCUCAGCUCUGGUGGCUGCCCACAUUUCUUGACUUGUGGCCACAUCACAACAAUGUCCACUUCCAUCAUCACAUGGCCUUCUCCUCUUCUCUAGCGGUAAUCUCCCUCUUCCUCCCUCUUAUGAUGGGCCUUUUGAUUACACUGGACCUGCUUGGAUAAUCCAGGAUAAUCUCUCCGUCUCGAGAUCCAGGCCAAGGGAACAGCGAGUGUCAAGGUCUCGAGGUACAGCAUGCUUGAUGUGUAAUAACAGCCAUGAGGCCAGCAUGCUGUAGGUGAUGGAAGGGGAGGGAGUGGAAGGAGAAGAGCUCCCUGAAGCAGAGAGGCAGAUCUCAUAGGAUGUAGGGUCAAGGACCAGAUAUAGAUGGCAUUGUUGGCUCAAUGCUUUGCUGCCACAGUGCUGUGAAGACCAUCCUUUUC
Long non-coding RNA from Bos taurus (domestic cattle), 2519 nucleotides. The record is from Ensembl. NCBI's taxonomy places the organism in Eukaryota, Metazoa, Chordata, Mammalia, Artiodactyla, Bovidae.